UGAGGAAUAUUGGUCAAUGGGCGAGAGCCUGAACCAGCCAAGUAGCGUGCAGGAUGACGGCCCUAUGGGUUGUAAACUGCUUUUAUAAGGGAAUAAAGUUAGCCUCGUGAGGCUUUUUGCAUGUACCUUAUGAAUAAGGACCGGCUAAUUCCGUGCCAGCAGCCGCGGUAAUACGGAAGGUCCGGGCGUUAUCCGGAUUUAUUGGGUUUAAAGGGAGCGUAGGCCGGAGAUUAAGCGUGUUGUGAAAUGUAGGCGCUCAACGUCUGCACUGCAGCGCGAACUGGUUUCCUUGAGUACGCACAAAGUGGGCGGAAUUCGUGGUGUAGCGGUGAAAUGCUUAGAUAUCACGAAGAACUCCGAUUGCGAAGGCAGCUCACUGGA
Molecule: ribosomal RNA, 381 nt
Filed under: uncultured Prevotella sp.
Lineage: Bacteria; Pseudomonadati; Bacteroidota; Bacteroidia; Bacteroidales; Prevotellaceae
Description: bacterial SSU rRNA
Rfam family: Bacterial small subunit ribosomal RNA
Source: RNAcentral